CCUCAUGUAGUUAUAUUGAUGAUUGCUUCUUAGUAGCAAUGCUACAUUCAUAAUAUUUGGCAUGCCUUAUAAAUCAGCAUGUUGUGAGAGAUAAAAAAGAGAAAGAUGGGAGAGGGCAUGCAUUGCAGGCUAUAUAUGCCUAAUAUGUUAUAUGAAGAGAAACUGAAAAAACAGUCUCCCUGCAAGAGAAACGUAGAUUGCUACAGUACUUUGACUUAAUGCAAAUUUCACCUAACGAAUUCAUGCUUACAUUUUUAAACAGUAUGCACCUAGCAGAUAAACUCAAUCACAUAAAAUAAUUUGGCAUUUACUUGCUUUUCUAUUUAUUAUAAUUGCAGUCAUUAGUAGCAUAGUGGGACAUUAACAACCCCCCAAGGCCCCAACCCCCACCCACCCACACACCCGAGAAGACAAAAAGAUAGGAUAAUCCAUUAAUGAGUAGAAACUUAAGCUUUUAAGUUUUAAGCAACCCAACGCCAUAUGUGACCCUUCAUAUGAAGUAUGAACAAUAAACAGUUUUGGGCAUCAAACUGAACAUUUUCAGUUUCUCCAUGUAAUUAGAAAGAUCACAGUCUGUUUAGAGUACAAAUAUCACCUGAUUAAAGCGCAUAUCAUAAGAAAUAUCAGGUAUAAGUUUUAAGUGUACUAAUAACUAGACUAGACACCGCUAGAGCUUUUGCAGAAAACAAGUACAUACUAUUUGAUUCGCCCUCAACGAGAAUAUCUGGUCACGAAACUCUGCACGAAAUACCCUAAAUCCAAAGAACAUGCAUAAAGAAGUAUUUAGGCAUGUUAAUGUGGAGCAUUUUUAUCUUUCAAAGGGAGAGGGAAAACAAACUAAUAUCGAUACAUAAAACAUAAAUUAAACCACAUAUAUGCAGAGAAUCUGAAUUUGACAAUUACGCAAACCAGUCUUCAUCUGACACUACAUCAAAUAUUAAAUAGCUUAAAGAUAAAUUGAUGAGUUAAGGUCGUGUUAAGUUCCAAACAAAAUAUAAAUUCAGAUAUACAAAAAAUGUUGGAGCUAGAAGCAGGCCUCAGAAGUUUGAUAUGACUUGAAUCAAGAAAAUCGUUAAUAUUCUUAACAAAAUCAAGGGGAAUUAAAGCAAACGAUCUACGGUUAAUCAAAGAAUAAUAAUCAAUUAUUCAUAACAUAAUUUGACAAUAUACACCAUACACAAUUGUACAGAGAGAGAGGGAGGGAGAGAGGAGAGAGAUUUGUUACCAGAAAAUCUCCAGCUUCCGAUGUGCUACACUGCUAUGUUUAGAUUACUCUUCCGCGAUGAAGUAUGCCACUACUAUACGAGUACCGGUGUCUUUUGUCACAAAAGAUGCGUUAUGUUUACGGGAUUAAAAUUUAAAAGGGUUUUACAUCGAAAAUCUCAUUCUGCCUAAAAAUCUCAUCUAUG
Molecule: long non-coding RNA, 1409 nt
Filed under: Daucus carota (carrot)
Lineage: Eukaryota; Viridiplantae; Streptophyta; Magnoliopsida; Apiales; Apiaceae
Description: long non-coding RNA (DCAR_LNC000565)
Source: RNAcentral